This 681-nucleotide ribosomal RNA is filed under the name Bacillus thuringiensis. Its description in RNAcentral is "bacterial SSU rRNA". It matches the Rfam family "Bacterial small subunit ribosomal RNA", at positions 1 to 664 of the family's 1533-position model. Lineage: Bacteria; Bacillati; Bacillota; Bacilli; Caryophanales; Bacillaceae. The record is from RNAcentral.
UUUUAGAGUUUUGAUCCUGGCUCAGGAUGAACGCUGGCGGCGUGCCUAAUACAUGCAAGUCGAGCGAAUGGAUUAAGAGCUUGCUCUUAUGAAGUUAGCGGCGGACGGGUGAGUAACACGUGGGUAACCUGCCCAUAAGACUGGGAUAACUCCGGGAAACCGGGGCUAAUACCGGAUAACAUUUUGAACCGCAUGGUUCGAAAUUGAAAGGCGGCUUCGGCUGUCACUUAUGGAUGGACCCGCGUCGCAUUAGCUAGUUGGUGAGGUAACGGCUCACCAAGGCAACGAUGCGUAGCCGACCUGAGAGGGUGAUCGGCCACACUGGGACUGAGACACGGCCCAGACUCCUACGGGAGGCAGCAGUAGGGAAUCUUCCGCAAUGGACGAAAGUCUGACGGAGCAACGCCGCGUGAGUGAUGAAGGCUUUCGGGUCGUAAAACUCUGUUGUUAGGGAAGAACAAGUGCUAGUUGAAUAAGCUGGCACCUUGACGGUACCUAACCAGAAAGCCACGGCUAACUACGUGCCAGCAGCCGCGGUAAUACGUAGGUGGCAAGCGUUAUCCGGAAUUAUUGGGCGUAAAGCGCGCGCAGGUGGUUUCUUAAGUCUGAUGUGAAAGCCCACGGCUCAACCGUGGAGGGUCAUUGGAAACUGGGAGACUUGAGGUGCAGAAGAGAAAAGGA